This 355-nucleotide unclassified non-coding RNA is filed under the name soil metagenome. RNAcentral's name for it is "partial contains 5.8S ribosomal RNA, internal transcribed spacer 2, and large subunit ribosomal RNA". The stretch from base 1 to 120 matches the Rfam family "5.8S ribosomal RNA", at positions 35 to 154 of the family's 154-position model. The record is from RNAcentral.
GAUGAAGAACGUAGCGAGAUGCGAUAAGUAAUGUGAAUUGCAGAAUUCAGUGAAUCAUCGAAUCUUUGAACGCACAUUGCGCCCAUUAGUAUUCUAGUGGGCAUGCCUGUUCGAGCGUCAUUAAGUCCACUUAAGCCCUGCUUAGUGUUGGGAGACUGCUCCAGCGGUGCUACCCUGUAGCUACCCUGCAGCUCCUCAAAGACAGCGGCGGAGUUGUGGUAUCCUCUGAGCUUAGUAACUUGUUCUAGCUUUCGAGUACACCACUUCCCCUGCCGUAAAACCCUUAAUUUUUAAUGGUUGACCUCGGAUCAGGUAGGAAUACCCGCUGAACUUAAGCAUAUCAAUAAGCGGAGGA